CCUACGGGAGGCAGCAGUGAGGAAUAUUGGUCAAUGGGCGGAAGCCUGAACCAGCCAAGUCGCGUGAGGGAAUAAGGCCCUACGGGUCGUAAACCUCUUUUGCCGGGGAGCAAGGGCGGGGACGUGUCCCGUCCCGGAGAGUACCCGAAGAAAAAGCAUCGCCUACCUCCGUGCCAGCAGCCGCGGUAAUCCGGAGGAUGCGAGCGUUAUCCGGAUUUAUUGGGUUUAAAGGGUGCAUAGGCGGGCUUUUAAGUCAGCGGUAAAAAUUCGGGGCUCAACCCCGUCCGGCCGUUGAAACUGGGGGCCUUGAGUGGGCGAGAAGAAGGCGGAAUGCGUGGUGUAGCGGUGAAAUGCAUAGAUAUCACGCAGAACCCCGAUUGCGAAGGCAGCCUUCCGGCGCCCUACUGACGCUGAGGCACGAAAGUGCGGGGAUCGAACAGGAUUAGAUACCCGAGUAGUC
This 460-nucleotide ribosomal RNA is filed under the name uncultured bacterium. Its description in RNAcentral is "partial 16S ribosomal RNA". It matches the Rfam family "Bacterial small subunit ribosomal RNA", at positions 338 to 795 of the family's 1533-position model. The record is from RNAcentral.